GACGAACUGUGCAAGCGUUAUUCGGAAUCACUGGGCUUGAAGAGUGCGUAGGCGGUUUUGUAAGUCGGGUGUGAAAGCCCCCGGCCCAACCGGGGAAUUGCGCCCUAAACUGCAAGGCUGGAGUGAGGUAGGGGUGUGUGGAACUUCCAGUGGAGCGGUGAAAUGUGUUGAUAUUGGAAGGAACGCCGGUGGCGAAAGCGACACACUGGACCUUGUCUGACGCUGAGGCACGAAAGCCAGGGGAGCAAACGGG
Molecule: ribosomal RNA, 253 nt
Filed under: uncultured bacterium
Lineage: Bacteria
Description: partial 16S ribosomal RNA
Rfam family: Bacterial small subunit ribosomal RNA
Source: RNAcentral